UCGGGUGGGAAGCCCAGGGCUGCUGUGGGGUGUUGCAUUUCGGAUAAUUCCUCCGUGGCGUAUGUGUAGAAAGCCAUCGUGCCCAUAUUGGCCGUCCGGAUCUGGCAGCCAUGGUGUGAAGGAUUUGUAUCCAAAGGGAGGAAGGUACUUUGGCUCCAACCUGUAAGCAGCUUUCCCUGCUCGAUGAUCACAUGAAAAUAUACAUUUGAAUUCAGGAUUCAAAGAUGUGACACAAGGGGACAAAAUAAUUUCAGUCCAGCAAUCCAAAAAUGGAAAAUUUGAGCUGAGAUAGGUAGAAGCUCAUCUUGGCAUCUUGUGGCUUCCACGAACCAAAUUCAAGUGCAGGCAGUCUUCAAUUUGACUACAAUUGAACGCAAAAUUUCGGUUGCCAAGCAAGACAAUUAUUAAGUGAGUUUUAUCCCUUUUUGCAACCUUUCUUGCCACUGUUGUUAAAUGAAUCACUGCAGUUGUUAAGUUACUAACAAGCUUGUAAAAUAAAUCUUGACUUUGUUUGCCAGCUUUGAAUGGUUAUUAAAUUAAAAGUU
Molecule: non-coding RNA, 545 nt
Organism: Pantherophis guttatus
Lineage: Eukaryota; Metazoa; Chordata; Lepidosauria; Squamata; Colubridae
Source: RefSeq, a predicted model, not a curated record